AGAUUUUUUACAGUAUCUACAGAAUAAAGGUCCUCUUGCCUGGUCAAAAUUGAUCCUCUGACUGAAAGGAGAAGGAGGAAUAGGCACUGUGGCCUUGUUAAAUCCAAUAGGCUGCCUAUUAGUAUGGACAUUGAAAGAGACAAAGUUUGGAUUAAAGUGAGAAGAAGACUGAACUUGUCUUUGCUUCUCAUCAUUGAGGACCAUAUUAUA
This 210-nucleotide long non-coding RNA is filed under the name Nicotiana benthamiana. RNAcentral's name for it is "long non-coding RNA (NBEN_LNC000575)". The record is from RNAcentral. Lineage: Eukaryota; Viridiplantae; Streptophyta; Magnoliopsida; Solanales; Solanaceae.